RNAcentral lists this ribosomal RNA (253 nucleotides) under uncultured bacterium. Its description in RNAcentral is "partial 16S ribosomal RNA". It matches the Rfam family "Bacterial small subunit ribosomal RNA", at positions 524 to 776 of the family's 1533-position model. The record is from RNAcentral.
GACGAAGGAUGCAAGCGUUAUCCGGAUUCAUUGGGUUUAAAGGGAGCGUAGGUGGCCUUAUAAGUCAGUGGUGAAAUCUCUGGGCUUAACCCAGAAAUUGCCAUUGAUACUGUAGGGCUUGAGUAUAGUUCCGUUGGCGGAAUAUGACAUGUAGUGGUGAAAUACAUAGAGAUGUCAUAGAACACCGAUUGCGAAGGCAGCUAACGAAACUAUAACUGACACUGAGGCUCGAAAAGUGCGGGGAUCAAACAGG